RNAcentral lists this ribosomal RNA (429 nucleotides) under Pseudomonadota bacterium. Its description in RNAcentral is "Proteobacteria bacterium partial 16S ribosomal RNA". It matches the Rfam family "Bacterial small subunit ribosomal RNA", at positions 355 to 776 of the family's 1533-position model. The record is from RNAcentral. Lineage: Bacteria; Pseudomonadati; Pseudomonadota.
UGGGGAAUAUUGGACAAUGGGCGAAAGCCUGAUCCAGCCAUGCCGCGUGUGUGAAGAAGGUCUUCGGAUUGUAAAGCACUUUAAGUUGGGAGGAAGGGCAGUAAGCGAAUACCUUGCUGUUUUUACGUUACCGACAGAAUAAGCACCGGCUAACUCUGUGCCAGCAGCCGCGGUAAUACAGAGGGUGAAAGCGUUAAUCGGAAUUACUGGGCGUAAAGCGCGCGUAGGUGGUUCGUUAAGUUGAAUGUGAAAGCCCCGGGCUCAACCUGGGAACUGCAUCCAAAACUGGCGCGUUAGAGUAGGGCAGAGGGUGGUGGAAUUUCCUGUGUAGCGGUGAAAUGCGUAGAUAUAGGAAGGAACACCAGUGGAGAAGGCGACCACCUGAGCUCAUACUGACACUGAGGUGCGAAAGCGUGGGGAGCAAACAGG